AUCUCUUCGGAGACGUCCGAUAAAAGUGGACCGAUAAAGAGAUGAUAUUUAGCAAGGCCCCUGUGCAAGGAUGACAUGUACAAAUUGAGAAAAGGUUCAUAUGUUG
Molecule: small nuclear RNA, 106 nt
Organism: Elaeis guineensis (African oil palm)
Lineage: Eukaryota; Viridiplantae; Streptophyta; Magnoliopsida; Arecales; Arecaceae
Source: RefSeq, a predicted model, not a curated record